Dermatophagoides farinae (American house dust mite) is the source of this 853-nucleotide non-coding RNA. Lineage: Eukaryota; Metazoa; Arthropoda; Arachnida; Sarcoptiformes; Pyroglyphidae. The record is from RefSeq and is a predicted model, not a curated record.
CAAGUAUUGUUCAUAUAUUCCAUUAUUUUUUGGUUUGCUGUUAUGAUUUUUGCAUAUUUAGGUUGUUGUCAUUCAUUUCAUGGUUGUGAUGAUGAAAAAUUAUCAUCAUCAUCAUCAAUAUUUUAUGGACAAAAAACAAGAAAAACAUGUCACCAUGGAAUGUUUAGCGAAAAAAUGUCUGUAUGAUUCAAUUUAAUAAUCACAUUUAUUACAAGAGCUAACUCGAGUACGUAAAUCACUUGUGAAUGAUGAUGAUAAUCCAAAAAUGCAAAAAAAAAAACACGAAAAAAUUAUAUAGAAAUAGAAAACCAGAACUUCUUGAAUCUGACCUAAAUCAAAUGAAGAAGUAAAAAAAAAAAUUUCAUGUUUGAUGGUAAUAACAGGUGAAUUAUAAUAUAAGAAAUGAAAAGAAAAAUCAGUUUGCUAUUUAUAUAAGAUGCUGAUGAUGAAGAAUCUUGUCAUCAAACUACAACAACAACAGCAACAAGUUAUGUUUAUGAAUAACAAAACGUGAAUUUCAUUCUCGUUCGUGUCACUUUUUGAUCAACCUCUUUUUUUUUCUUGGAUUAAAGUGGAAAAAAUGUCCAUUUGUCAUUGUUUAUUUUUGUCUACUUAUUACACGUCAAUUGUAAAGAAUUUAACCACACACAUGAUCCAACGAACCUUGACAAAUUGUCUUUAUUCAUUUCAUUUAUGAUAAUUAUCAUAAUUUAUAGACUUGGUUGAGAUUUAUGAUGAAUGAAUCAAGAAAAAGAAGACAGCAACAAUCAUAAAAAUAUUGAUGUCGACGAUGAUGAAGAAAAAACUAGUUACCUGUUAUUCUGUUUUUACUGACAUUCAUAUUGGUGGCUGA